GAUGAACGCUAGCGGCAGGCCUAAUACAUGCAAGACGAACGGCAAGAUUUUUAGCAAUAAAGAUCCUAGAGUGUCGUAAGGGUGCGUAACACGUAUGCAAUCUGCCCUCAACAGGAGGAUAGCUCCCCGAAAGGGGAAUUAACACUCCAUAAGAUCACACAAUGGCAUCAUUGAGUGAAUUAAAACUACGGUGGUUGAGGAUGAGCAUGCGCAUGAUUAGUUA
RNAcentral lists this ribosomal RNA (223 nucleotides) under uncultured bacterium. RNAcentral describes it as "partial 16S ribosomal RNA". It matches the Rfam family "Bacterial small subunit ribosomal RNA", at positions 28 to 247 of the family's 1533-position model. The record is from RNAcentral.